GGCCCGGUAGGCAAACCGGCAAAGCCGCCUGCCUCAGGAGCAGGUGUCUGAGGGUUCGACUCCCUCCUGGGCCA
This 74-nucleotide transfer RNA is filed under the name Singulisphaera sp. Its description in RNAcentral is "tRNA-Leu". It matches the Rfam family "tRNA". Rfam says of the family: Transfer RNA (tRNA) molecules are approximately 80 nucleotides in length. Lineage: Bacteria; Pseudomonadati; Planctomycetota; Planctomycetia; Isosphaerales; Isosphaeraceae. The record is from RNAcentral. RNAcentral also lists the same sequence under 1 other name.